Molecule: long non-coding RNA, 503 nt
Filed under: Malus domestica (apple)
Lineage: Eukaryota; Viridiplantae; Streptophyta; Magnoliopsida; Rosales; Rosaceae
Description: long non-coding RNA (MDOM_LNC008725)
Source: RNAcentral
UUCCUCUACCCCUUCGGCCCUGAACCUCUGUCCCAUAGUCACAUCUUCGAACCGGAGCGUCAGUCGGCCUUCUUUGCACAUGUCAAAAUCACCGGAACCGAUUUUCUCUCAUCUUUCCUUCAAUUUCGGCUACUCCUACUUUACCUCGGAUAUCCUCAUUUCAAUCUUAUCCUUUCUCGUGUGCCCACACAUCCCACGAAGCAUCCUCAUCUCCGCUACACCCAUUUUGUGUACGUGUUGAUGUUUCACCGCCCAACAUUCUGUGCCAUACAACAUCGCUGGCCUUAUUGCCGUCCUAUAAAAUUUUCCCUUGAGCUUCAGUGGCCUACGACGGUCACACAACACGCCGGAUGCACUCUUACACUUCAUCCAUCCAGCUCGUAUUCUAUGGUUGAGAUCUCCAUCUAAUUCUCCGUUCUCUUGCAAGAUAGAUCCUAGGUAGCGAAAACGGUCGCUUUUUGUGAUCUUCGCUAGAUUGCUCCGGUCAUUAGUGUGUGGAUAAG